GAUGAACGCUGGCGGCGUGCCUAAUACAUGCAAGUCGAGCGAACAGACGAGGAGCUUGCUCCUCUGACGUUAGCGGCGGACGGGUGAGUAACACGUAGAUAACCUACCUAUAAGACUGGGAUAACUUCGGGAAACCGGAGCUAAUACCGGAUAAUAUAUUGAACCGCAUGGUUCAAUAGUGAAAGACGGUUUUGCUGUCACUUAUAGAUGGAUCCGCGCCGCAUUAGCUAGUUGGUAAGGUAACGGCUUACCAAGGCAACGAUGCGUAGCCGACCUGAGAGGGUGAUCGGCCACACUGGAACUGAGACACGGUCCAGAGUCCUACGGGAGGCAGCAGUAGGGAAUCUUCCGCAAUGGGCGAAAGCCUGACGGAGCAACGCCGCGUGAGUGAUGAAGGUCUUCGGAUCGUAAAACUCUGUUAUUAGGGAAGAACAAAUGUGUAAGUAACUAUGCACGUCUUGACGGUACCUAAUCAGAAAGCCACGGCUAACUACGUG
RNAcentral lists this ribosomal RNA (497 nucleotides) under uncultured bacterium. RNAcentral's name for it is "partial 16S ribosomal RNA". It matches the Rfam family "Bacterial small subunit ribosomal RNA", at positions 28 to 507 of the family's 1533-position model. The record is from RNAcentral.